CCUCUGUACCUGAAGUCAACCCAGCGCUGAAGUGCAUGCUUGGUGUGCCUUCCUGUGGGUUUGGACCGAUGUCUGCGUAUGACAUGGAACCACCUCUGUAGUAUCCUACAGAGUAGGUGCACUCUCCCACAAGCCCUCUGGGCUCUGCCUACUCCUUCCUCCUGCCCCCCUAUCCCCUGGGACCCCUGACCACCCCCUGUCUUCAGCAUUUUGCCUUUCCCAGGAUGUCUGCCAUUAGCAGGUUUAUGUCAUUCCCACCUUACAGGAGUUGCAGGUGACUGUUGCAUUUGAAUAUGGUCACUAUCAGAACGUGUAUUAGAGAAAUUACUUUUUGAGAGUAUGUGGCCUUUUUACAUUGACUUCUUUCACUCAAUAAUAUGCAUUCAAGAUUCCUUCAUGUCUUUUUAUGGAUCAAUAGCUCAUUUCUUUUUAGUGCUGGAUAAUACUCCAUUUUGUGGAUGUACCAGUUUUGAUCAUUUUUCUUUAUUAUGGCAUUGGGAAUUGAGCACAGGGCACUCUACUUCUGAGCUACAUCCUCAGUCCUUUAAAAAAAUUUUUUUUUAUGUGAGAAAAGAUCUCAGUUGCCCAGGCUGGCCUGAAACUUGCAGUCUUCCUGCCUCAGUUUCCCUCUGAGAAGCUGGGAUUACAGGUGUGUGUCACUGUGCCUGACUACCACAGUUUAUUCAUUCAUGCACCUACUUGCUUGCUUUCAAGUUUUGGCUAUUAUGAGUAAGAGUGCUAUAAACAUCCGUGUGAGUAGUGUGUGUGUGUGUGUGUGUGUGUGUUAGAACAUGAGUUUUCAGUUGGUUUGGGUAAAUGCCAAGGAUGCGCUUUCUUGGUAUGAGUGUGGGUAGUUUUGUGAGACUGCUCUACUCCUACCAAAGCAGCUCACCAUUUGGCAUUCCUAGCAGCAGUGAGUGAGAGAGAGUUCCUGCUGCUCCACAUCCUCUCCAGCAUUUGGUGUUGCCAGUGUUUGGAUUUGGGGCCAUUUUUAUUGGUGUGCAGUGGUGUCUCAUUGUUUUUUUAAUCUGCAUCACCCCUGUGAAAUAAAAUAUGCAGCCUCUUUUCACAUGCUUACUUACCAUCAGCAUAUCUUCUUUGGGGAGGUGUUUUUUAAUGUCUUGGCCUCAUUUUUAGAGUUUUAAGAGUUCUUUGUAUGUUUUGUAUAACAAUCUGUUUUCAGAUGUGUCUGCAAGUAUUCCAGUCUCUGGCUUUUAUUCUAAUUCUCUUGACAGUGCCUUUUGUAGAGCAGAAGUUUUUAAUUUAAAUGAGGUUCAACUUUUCAAUUCUUUCAUGGAUUGCACCUUGGUGUUGCAUCUAAAAACUUGUGCCAUACCAUAGUCUUCUAGGUUUUCUCCUGUUGUCUUCUAGUAGUGAGUGUAGACUGUGCUUUUUUGAUACUUUAUUAAGGAUGGUCAGUAUGUUGGAAAAACAUUCAGUACUAUCCAAAGUACAGGUAUGAAGACACGAAUUGGUAUGUAAAUACUGUGUAUACAACCAGAGAUAUGAAAAAUUGUGCUCUAUGUGUGUAAUAAUUUUAAUGCAUUCUGCUGUCAUAUUAAAAAAAAGAACAGUAGAGAAAAUAUUUGUUAAUUGUGGCAGGUCCUUCAUACUUUUAUUUCUUCAGGAGGAUUGGUCUUUAUCCAAAGCUAACUUCUCUUAGAAUUAAAUUUUAAAAGUCAUGACAAGUCUAUCAUAAAACUGCUGCCUACAAAUUUAUUUAAAUUUGAGAGAAGCAGAAACUAAUAUGUGAAUAGUAUUGAUAGUACUGCAAUUGAUCACUCGUUUCAUCAAUAAAAGGUUUUAGAGUAGCAAAAAAAAAUGCAUGUAGUAUUGAAGGAGUCUGCUAAAUUUGUUGUCUCAGUAGAAAGAUGUUCUCAGUCCUUUUGUGCUUUCAACAUGCAGGUUGAGAGUACACUGAUAUUAAAAAGGUAUUAGUUUACAUUCAUGCCUGUUCUGUCAGCUUCCUUGAAAAUCAGGUCCACAAAGCUAUAAUCUGUAUGUGUGCAUUAAAGAAAAAAAAUAGCUAAAUGUUGAGUUCUAAUAAGUUCAAAUAUGAGGUGCUCAAACUUACUACUUGGAUCAAGGGACACUUUACUAAAGUAGUUUUAACAUGGUGAAGAGUAAAUUACCCUGUGAUUCUCUUUAGGCCAUUGACCUGUUUGGUCAUAAACACACAAAUAUUUUGAUUAAAAUAAGCAGGUUGAUAAGGAGAAUCACUCGUUGUUGUCAUUCAACAAGAAGGAGUGUGUUUUAAUGAGUUUCAUCUUUACUUAAGUAGGUCACUAAAACACGUGGCAAAACCCCUUUGGAUACUAGUUGUUACGGAACUUCUUCCCCCUGUCCUCAGGGGUGCAUUGUUAAUGUUUUUGUGUAUCAUGGAAUCUUUAUGCAGCUUUACAGAUGCAUAUGUAAGGACACACAUUUGCCUUCCCGUCACAGGCACCUCUCUGUCCUCAGAUCGUCCCCUUAACAGUACGUGUCUCAUGGAGGACUCCAUUUUAGCAUCGCCAGCUGAAAAGAGGUGAAUUUUCAAGACUGUGUGGUGGUAGAUGUUUUUGGAUGGAUAUGCCAAAAUGUAUUUGAUUGGGCAUAUUGAGGGGCUGGGCCUUGUUUUGAUCCUCCCCCUGAGAGUGUUAGCAGAGAGUGGAGAAGACCCAGCACUGGGGGUCUCCAUGGGUUCAUGCAGCUGAGCUGACUGCAGGCGGACUUGGUCAGCUGUAAGUUGGGGCCUUCACAAACAAACCAUGGGGAAUUUUUGACAUAUUUUCAUGUUAAAAAUACUUAAAGGGUUAGACGUAUUCUAUAGGCAUUGCCAGAAGGGAUGGGGGAAGAAAAGAGAAAGAAAGGAGUCAAAGACUGUUUCAGGAGUUUCAGAAUCAGGUUUGAAGAUGAAGAGAAUGAGGGAGUCUGAGUUGAUCCCCCAGCACCCUCCUCUGCUCUUCUGGAGCUCGCUCAGCUGAUGGUCUUUGGGAAGGAAGGAAUGCCAUCACCUAGGCCCAGCCAGCCACCACUGGCGUCUUUCCAAGGGAUGGCACAGUGGAAAGAGGCCCUGAAGCUCAGAUGUGCCUGUGCACCCUCCUGGCCUCUGCUUCUGUAGCUAACUAACAUAGUUCCAGCAAAAGUGCGCCCUCUCCUGUCAGAAGGCCACAUGUUGUGUAGACGUCACCCCCGGCUUUCCCACUCAGCAGCGAGUGGCGAUCUUUCCUAACCAGUGCAGAAAGAGG
Molecule: long non-coding RNA, 3227 nt
Filed under: Marmota monax (woodchuck)
Lineage: Eukaryota; Metazoa; Chordata; Mammalia; Rodentia; Sciuridae
Source: RNAcentral